CAGCCGCCGCGGGAAUACGGAGGGUGCAAGCGUUAAUCGGAAUUACCGGGCGUAAAGCGCACGCAGGCGGUCUGACAAGUCAGAUGUGAAAUCCCCGGGCUUAACCUGGGAACUGCAUUUGAAACUGCCAGGCUGGAGUCUUGUAGAGGGGGGUGGAAUUCCAGGUGUAGCGGUGAAAUGCGUAGAGAUCUGGAGGAAUACCGGUGGCGAAGGCGGCCCCCUGGACAAAGACUGACGCUCAGGUGCGAAAGCGUGGGGAGCAAACAGGAUUAGAGACCCCAGUAGUCCCUGUCUCUUAUAC
Molecule: ribosomal RNA, 301 nt
Filed under: uncultured bacterium
Lineage: Bacteria
Description: partial 16S ribosomal RNA
Rfam family: Bacterial small subunit ribosomal RNA
Source: RNAcentral